Molecule: ribosomal RNA, 508 nt
Filed under: uncultured bacterium
Lineage: Bacteria
Description: partial 16S ribosomal RNA
Rfam family: Bacterial small subunit ribosomal RNA
Source: RNAcentral
AUUGAACGCUGGCGGCAGGCCUAACACAUGCAAGUCGAGCGGCAGCGGGAAAGUAGCUUGCUACUUUUGCCGGCGAGCGGCGGACGGGUGAGUAAUGCCUGGGAAAUUGCCCAGUCGAGGGGGAUAACAGUUGGAAACGACUGCUAAUACCGCAUACGCCCUACGGGGGAAAGCAGGGGACCUUCGGGCCUUGCGCGAUUGGAUAUGCCCAGGUGGGAUUAGCUAGUUGGUGAGGUAAUGGCUCACCAAGGCGACGAUUCCUAGCUGGUCUGAGAGGAUGAUCAGCCACACUGGAACUGAGACACGGGCCAGACUCCUACGGGAGGCAGCAGUGGGGAAUAUUGCACAAUGGGGGAAACCCUGAUGCAGCCAUGCCGCGUGUGUGAAGAAGGCCUUCGGGUUGUAAAGCACUUUCAGCGAGGAGGAAAGGUUGAUGCCUAAUACGUAUCAACUGUGACGUUACUCGCAGAAGAAGCACCGGCUAACUCCGUGCCAGCCGCCGCGGUAA